UAAAUCCAUGGGCAUGGGAGGGAAACUGAAAAUUCAUCAUCCAAAGUUCUUAUGUUGUAGGGCUAUUUGGAACACAGAAAAAAUAUGUGGCUGCCUGCUAGAGCCAAGGGUGAAGCAGAUAUUUCAAAAGUAGCAUGGCUGUUCCCGCAUUUGGAUCCCGUCCUUGAAAAGAUAACUCGUGUCUUCUUAGCACUUCUUAGCUUAGAUUGUGUUUUUCAAAUAUUUAGAUCAUUUGCCUCUAAUGCAGAUUUCACUGGAAUUUUGUUGAACCAUGACAUGAUUAUUUUUUUGGUAAAGAGUAUUUGCCCCACAUAGCUGUCUUUUAAAACAAAAACAAAACUAUGCUUCCCAGCCAUAGGCCAGCCACCACUGGCUCUGCAUGAUCAGGGUUGGCCUUGACUCAUGGUCCGAAAUCUUCUAUUUUCCUAGGAAAAUGUAUUGAGAGAUAAAUGACUUUAAGGGAUCCAAAAUUCCCUCCCACCCAAAAAAAUCAGAAGCUUGAUAACUUGAGAUUUAAGCCAAUAUAUUUGUUGGGGAAAUAGUGAUUGAUCACUUUUCCUGCAUUAUUUUCUCUACAGACAGAUUGGUCCAGUCUGGACAAUUAUAUAUUGGGUUAAUAAGCCAAGAUAUGCCCAAAAAUUUUACCCACGCAUGCAACUUGCCCUUUAUGGUGUACCUGAACACAAAGUGGAUAUCAUCAGUUAACCAUUUUUUCUCAUUUUGUCUGAACUGUAAAACUAUGAUUACCAAGUCAGGAACAAGCCAGAAAAUCAAACCGUUGUUGGCAGUUGGUUUAAGAUCUUGGCUUGUUCUGAACCUGGUUGUGGGAGUUCCCAGUUGGAAGAGAUGGACACUGUUGCUAAUUGAAGACUUGUACCUUGCAUUCAGAAACACCAAUGAAGGAAGUGGCUGCUUGCAUUGGUACCAGCUUUAUUCAUAUCUUGGUUUAUUAAGCCAAGAUAUGAUCAUCUGAAUACAGCUAAAAAUAGAAAUAUAUAUUUCUGAAGGUGAUCAUUGAAACCCAGCAUUAUCACAGUAACAUCACAUUAUAUCACAUCUGCAGGCAUAUCAGAAUGAGUGUCUUUGCCUGUGCUUUCUGUGGUACAAAUCUGGAUAAACUGGCUAGAAAAAUCACAUUAUCCUAAGUUCCUAUAAUCUGGAAGCUAGUGUUGAAAAAUGCUGAUUUCUUACAUCUUCCCCAUUCAGGAGCAGUAUCAAAAGUUUGCUGCACAUUCAUAGGAAUUUGAGUUUAAUUUUUAUAGCCAUACUGUAGUAGUAUGUUGAAAUUAUGGGGGGUGGGGGAGAGAGAGAAAGUAAGCGAGUAAAAGUCCAGAGUUUUUUAUUAGACUAAACAAGCAUUUUUUCAACCCUAGAAUUUGUAGUUUUUCUUGAGAGUGAGAAAUCUCGUGUUGUUUGAGCCAUCCCUUCAUCUUGGCUCCCCUGAUUUGCCCUCCCUUCUCUUCCAGAGAUUUGUGCCUGUGGAAUUAGCACAGGAACACAAAGUGGAUGUGGUCAUUCUAUCUUUAGUAUUCACUUUUUUGUGUGUGCAGCCUAGCUGUACAUAAUCAGACCCCUGUUGAGAGGGAAACAAAACUUUGGAAUAGUUUAUCAAAUAGCAACACAAGACCACAAAGGGGCAUCCUGAGGAAGUGGCAUCUUAAAGAUCAGAAGUUACCACCAGGUGGGUAACAAUGCUUCUUACCAGCUAAUCUGUGCUCUUAUCUGUCAAAGUUUGGAGCAGUUAACUCAAGAUCAAUCAAAAGGAUUACUAAAAUUUUCACACCCUCUCCCCAGAACUGUCCAGUGUACAGUCUUCUGUUAACAACAUGCUUGGAACCAAAGUGACCAUCCAUCCAUGACCCUUAUGGUGCUUUUAGAGCCUCUUUGAAGUGGAUUAGUCACUUCUAGACUGCUGAUCAAUGGAACCUGAUCUGAUCUCGUCUAUCCAGAAAUUAGUAUGCACCAGCUGUGCACUCUGUCACUUCUUUUGUUUUUCCUGUAGUUUUGAUGUGUGUAAUAUAUCAAGAAGGCUGACUGAAUGCUGGGCUAAUCAUCUCCCCGGUAGUGGGAAUCUGAAUACAGCAGCCAAGUUAAACAGUCUGCCCAAGGACAUGCCAGCAGAGAGUGAUAUGCUUCUGCUGUUUCAGACUGUGUGUGUUGUUUUCUGCUUUAAAGGCCAAAGACUCUUAACGCAGGAUGCCUUCCCCAACCUAGUGACCUCCAGAUGUUUUGAGCUACAACUCCCAUCAUCCCUUGAUCAUGCAGGCUGGGGCUGAUAGAAAUCCUGGAAGGCACCAAGUUGGUGAAGGCUAGCCGAUAAACUCAUGUGCAGUGUGAUACUGAACUGGCAACCCUGAUUGCCUCUCUUAUUUGUGUACAUAAGGCUGUACAGAGUCAACUACAUAGAGUUCGACUUCUCCCUCUAAGAUGAAAAAGCAGGCAUCACGUGGAGGGAGAUAGCACUACAUAUUUCAGCUUUCUUCAGCUUGGUGUCCUCUAGAUAUGUUGGCUUAAAACUCCUAUUAUCCUUACAAUUGGGCAUGCUAGCUGUGACUGAUGGGAAAUAUACCCCAACAACAUCAGGAGGACACUGGGUUUGGGAAGACUUGGUUUAUUGCUCAGGUGCUCUCCUGGGGAACAUUGCUGGUUGCAAGAGGUUUCAUUUUAGUCACAAAUAUUUAGAACUUGAAAUAACCUCCUGAAUAUUUGUGACUUAGGAGAAGCUUGUCUUUUCAGCACUUGAUAAAGCUGUACUGUACUGGAAUUUGCAUUCCUUUAAUACAUCUCUCUAUUCUUCCAACGUAAAUAACCAGAUGAUGCCUCCUAGAUGGUAGUACCUGUAAUGAUUUACUGAUACUUGGGUCCAGGAGAAUCCUACACAUUUAAAUAAAACAUUUUACCAAUUGUGUCAUUAUUUUAAUACUUGACUUCAAAAGCCAGACCUGUUCCCUGUGUGGCUUUGUUUUUUGCAUUAAAAAACAAGUGUUGAUUCAAUUUGUUUGAUGAAGGGUCAUGGAUCCAGUUUCAGAUUUCUAAGUAUAGGCGUGGCAGAUUUGUUGGUAUGAACAGUACCUGAACUUACAGUAGUAUAAUUUAUUAGGCCAGCCGAAAUAUCCCAAAGGUAGGGUUCAAGCUUUCAGGUUCACCAGAUCUCUUUUUCAGGCUGGAUAUUAAGUCAAAAGGGAUGGGGGAAGAUGUUGAUGAUUGUGAUGAGAGAGCUCAUAUCUGCAACUGAACAUUUAAGAUGGAAUAGAGAAGAUCCUAAAUACACUUACUGAGGAGUACUUAGCGGGGGCUUACUCCUCAUGAAAUCAGUUAGCGUUUUGAGAUUUUAUUUAUUAUUAAAUUUUCCGCAGUGCUUUUAUCGUUGCAAGUGCAUCUCUGUCACUGGAGGAGCCAAAACUGGAUGGUGGAAUGGGAGGAUAGGAGUGGUGUCAAAUUCUAAGCACCCCCUGUGUCUUCUAUAGGUACAUCAGCCUGGCAUCCUGCGUUGCAGGGGCUUGGCCUAGAUGACCCUGGAGGUGCCUUCCAACUCUACAAUUCCAUGAUUACACCAACAAAAGAGAACCCAUACAGGUAUAUCGCCUCAGGACACAAGCAGCCAACAACACCUCUCAUCUGUAGCCAAGGAUGCAAGAACAAAGCACCUUGAAGAGGAUCGUGACAGCCUGGACACAUGGAACAGGACAAAUGCAGUACCCAGAGUUCUGUUGUAACUCCCUAAAAGAGAGGUGCAGAGAACAGGACACAUUCCACCCCCAGUGCCAUGCAGAUCUCAAGUGAAGCCUAAAGCUAGACCAGCAGUUACGACUAUUGUGAUUCUAGCCAUAUAUAUCAAUCCAGCUACCUUGUAGAAAAGUGAGAUUGUGUAAAUUGAAAUAUCUGAUACUGUGCAAUAAAAGUUUUCAUUUGCGGCAA
Long non-coding RNA from Podarcis raffonei (Aeolian wall lizard), 3918 nucleotides. RefSeq lists it as uncharacterized. NCBI's taxonomy places the organism in Eukaryota, Metazoa, Chordata, Lepidosauria, Squamata, Lacertidae. The transcript is spliced from 5 exons. The record is from RefSeq and is a predicted model, not a curated record.